CCUACGGGUGGCAGCAGUGAGGAAUAUUGGUCAAUGGACGAGAGUCUGAACCAGCCAAGUAGCGUGAAGGAUGACUGCCCUAUGGGUUGUAAACUUCUUUUAUAUGGGAAUAAAACGUUCCACGUGUGGGAUUUUGUAUGUACCAUAUGAAUAAGGAUCGGCUAACUCCGUGCCAGCAGCCGCGGUAAUACGGAGGAUCCGAGCGUUAUCCGGAUUUAUUGGGUUUAAAGGGAGCGUAGGUGGAUUGUUAAGGCAGUUGUGAAAGUUUGCGGCUCAACCGGAAAAUUGCAGUUGAAACUGGCAGUCUUGAGUACAGUAGAGGUGGGCGGAAUUCGUGGUGUAGCGGUGAAAUGCUUAGAUAUCACGAAGAACUACGAUUGCGAAGGCAGUUCACUGGACUGCAACUGACACUGAGGCUCGAAAGUGUGGGUAUCAAACAGGAUUAGAUACCCGUGUAGUC
This 460-nucleotide ribosomal RNA is filed under the name uncultured bacterium. RNAcentral describes it as "partial 16S ribosomal RNA". It matches the Rfam family "Bacterial small subunit ribosomal RNA", at positions 338 to 795 of the family's 1533-position model. The record is from RNAcentral.